AUGAGGUUCCAGGGCCCCCGGUGUUCGUUCCGGGAGGACGCCGCCGACAUGGCUGGCGCCAUCUUCAUGUCCAACAGCGAAACGAGGGAUCACUGCUUCAACACCGGCGUCUUCGGGCUACCGCCAGAGUAUGGGCCCUUUGUGGCCAAUGUCAAGCAGGGGAUGCCCCUGUUCCUCUUUGACUACACCUUCCGUAAGCUUUAUGGCGUCUUUGAGGCCGCCUCCGAUGGAAGCAUGGAUAUUAGCAGGACCACAUUCCGAUCCACUGGCCGCACGUACCCCGCACAGGUUUGCUUCAAUAUUGUUUGGAAGUGCAGACCGCUCACUGAAGAUGAGUUUUUUCCUGCAAUAGAAGAGAACUACUAUAUCUCAAAAAAGUUCUACUUCGACCUUUCCUAUCAGCAGGUCGUCCAGCUAUAUGGCUUAUUUGACAAAAAGAGGGUAGAGCACCCUAUUUGCAAUUAUUCAACAAGUGCUAAUCUGGAAAAGGAGCAUUCAAGCAGAAGGAGACCAGAUAAAAGGAGCUUGUCUCCCAAUAGUCCUCCUUUUUCUGCUGAUCGUUCCCACACUUUGAUACCCUCGAGUACCCCAAAGAUCUCAACUGUCGAAACAAACUGCUCUGCUUCUACAAGCAUGCAUCUAAUUGCACCACCUACUUUUGAGACACAGCCAAAUGUGUCAAUGCCCUUGGUAACCAAAGCUUUUGGAGCCCAGACCGCUCCCAUCUACGGCAACCAGAUAAAAUUACCUUAUCAUAGUCAACAACAUCUCCCAGAUGUUUCAGCAAUAGAUGGCACUUCAACUCAGGUGUCUGCUCCUUGCUCUCAGGCAGCUAAAUACCACCAAGAUCAGUUUGUGGCAAAUCAGUCGUACCCAUCAUCUGAUGAUUAUCCGCACAAUAGCUUGUCUUCUGGGUGCAUGACACAAGGCCCAACUGAUGGAGUUAGGUUGUCAGUAAAGCAGUCAUAUGGAGGCAGUAGCUUGUCAUGUUCUCGGUAUUUAACUCAGGUUCCAACUGGUGAUGAAAGAAGCUAUUUGACCUCAACUCCAUAUUUCCCAUCAUACCAUGAUUCAUCUCUGGAAAGUCCGCAACACAAUGCUCACUGGAAGGAUGAUUACGACAUUAACUGCGACCAAUGCAGAGAGAUGUAUGCAUCUGAGCGUCUGCAUUUAAACAGACGAAAAUCUGUUACACCUCCAGAAUCAACUCAGCUAGGUAUUCCGGCUUACCCUGAAGCUCCUAAAGUAUCAGCGAUCAUUCAACAUAAAGAAAGCUUUACUGGCUACAUCCCAAUCCAUGAUCGCCCUGAGGACUUGGAAAAAGAACAACAGAGGCGUGAUUUUAAUCGUGAUGGUUCAGCCUCAUCAGGUUCUGGACAUGAAACAUUAGCCUACAUUUCAGAUCGACCAUAUACUGAUCAUGAUGUUGGAUCUGAAAGCAAGAUGGCAGUUCCUAGUCAGCGCCCACAAAAGAAUGUGUUUUCUCGCUUAUCAGUGAAGCCACAACUACCUCCCCAAGAAGUUACGGGUCCUUCAAUGAACCAAUUGCUCUAUUUACUUUCUCAGAGAACAAAACAGUGGAGCAACAAGAGUAUAAGUCCUAGAGAAGAUGUUUGUAAACAGCUGGUCCGUGAACAGGACAUGGACAUGCCCUGUCCUCUUCCAGAGCUAAACCUGCCAAGUGGACUAGAAGGAGAAGAAAGCGCAGAUCCUCCCUUCUUGAACUUCAAGAGGCGCAGCAAAGCGGCUGGGCUGGAUACAAACGUAGAAAAGGAGGUUACCGACAGAAAGAAGAGAAGAAAGCUUGUGCGCCCUUCUUUUGGAGUAAAUAACACCACUGGUACUUCUGGAAAUGAUCUCCAAGGGAAUGCCAUAGUUGAAGUGCGCCCUUCACAUGAAGAAAAUAACACUACUGGUAAUUCUGGAAGUGACCUCCAGGGGAAUGCCAUUACUGAAAGGAAUCAAAGCCCUGCUUCCAUAGUUGAAAGGAAUCAAAGCUCUGCCUCCAUGGUUGAAAUGAAUCAUAGCCCUGCUGCCAUAACUGAAAGGAAUCAAAGCCCUGCUGCCAUAGUUGAAAGGAAUCAAAGCCUUGCUUCCAUAGUUGAAAGGAAUCAAAGCCCUGCUGCCAUAAUUGAAAGGAAUCAUAGCCCUGUCGAAACUGAUGGUAACAAGUUCAUCAUUGACCUAAAUGAACCGGCAUCUGUAGAAAGUGAUCUGGCAGAGGAUGGUAGCAUUGCACCGUGUCCUGUUGCUACCAACACACAGACAGAAAAAUCCUGUGAAGUAGAUGUCAAAAAGCAAAACUGCUCAAAUUCGGCCGGGGUAAUCACCAAACAAGAUGUACAGUCUGACAGUGGUGCACCUACAGAGAAGAUUACACUUGAUCUGAACAUUACAGAUCUGAACACAAUGGACGAGGUGAAACUGCAAGCGAUCCUUGGUUCAUCAUUGUUGCAAGCACUUGACAAGCUCAGAAAUAGCAAGUCCAACGACGACUCCAACAAGGCUAAAUCAAGCGCCUCUGAUAAAAAUAAUAACAGCCAGGUGAAAAUGGAGAUGAAAUCCGAAACGAGCACCAGACAUAGAUGCAAUUGA
RNAcentral lists this ribosomal RNA (2595 nucleotides) under Triticum aestivum (bread wheat). RNAcentral describes it as "partial small subunit ribosomal RNA". Lineage: Eukaryota; Viridiplantae; Streptophyta; Magnoliopsida; Poales; Poaceae. The record is from RNAcentral.